Molecule: non-coding RNA, 89 nt
Organism: Ceratotherium simum simum (southern white rhinoceros)
Lineage: Eukaryota; Metazoa; Chordata; Mammalia; Perissodactyla; Rhinocerotidae
Source: RefSeq, a predicted model, not a curated record
GUCAGUUUAGAGAGAAUCGCCCACCCUUGAUAUCUGAUCAAGUUCUUCAUCCCCCACCUUCAAUGUCUAAGCUCUUGGCUUGCCUGGUG